This 1093-nucleotide long non-coding RNA is filed under the name Pan troglodytes (chimpanzee). RNAcentral's name for it is "long non-coding RNA NONPTRT013946". Lineage: Eukaryota; Metazoa; Chordata; Mammalia; Primates; Hominidae. The record is from RNAcentral.
CAGAGGACCCGGGGGGUCCCUCCUUUAGUACGCGGGUCAGAGGACAGCGGGGUCUCCCUCCUUUUCACUCUUUUGGGGAGCUGGAGAGGAUUUCCCACCCUUCCCGCCUCCCCGCGGUGGGCACCGGUUUGCCGUCCAGCCCUUCUUCCCCUCAGCGUAGCAGGGUUGAGGGCUCCCCCAUCCUCUCCGCCCUCUUGAGAGGGCCGGGGCUCCCUGCGAGGGCGGCAGGGCGCGGAAACGCCAGCGGAACUAACUGGAGACCGGCACCAUGUGGAAGUGAAGCGGCAGUGACUGCACUGGGAGCCCCCGCCACGGCCUCGCGGGGGCAGCGUCCGUUGCGCCCCGCACGCUCAGCUUCAGUCACACUUUGGAGGAGAUGACCAGCUCUCAGGACUCAGCCUUGCCCCGCCUCCCUGGCUGUCCUGUCCUCCUCGCUGGCAGAAGUGUUUAUGGACUGCUGCCCCCACGCUGUCCUGCCUGCCCUCCACUCCAACACCCUCCUGUGACUGUAACCCAGAUUUUAGGUUUUUGAAGGUUCUGAGAGCAAGCUUCCAUGACAGACAACACUGAUGAAUCCGCGGUAUAAAUAUCCAGAACCCAAUCCCUUCCAAGGAAACACGGUUGAGUGGGAAGCUGGACACGGUUUCUAUUGUGUUGGUUCUGUCUUCCUCCGGCUGUGUGCUUGGUCUUUCUGGGGCGGGCAGAGUUGCACAUUUCCAGUCCUUUCCUGUGCUAGCAACAGACUAAUUAUUCAUCUUCUCUUCAAUCCUUGCUGCUUCUUUAUCCCUUGUAUUGAUACAUGUUUGCCUUCACCCACUCAAGAAGGGAGAAAAAAUAAAUAAUCCGUCAUUUAGGUUUAUGCGAAAAGAGCUGAAAAACUUGUGAGGAAAAGGAAAUGCUUAAUUACUGUCUCCUUGUUCCUAGUGGGGAAGUGGAAUCUUUUAAAUAUCCAGUAUGUAUACCAUAUAUAUGUUCUCUGUAUGGUAAAGGCAGUCUUAAGACUUUUAAGAAAUUUUGUUACAAUGUAAUGACAUGGAGAUUAUUUUGCCCUUGAUCUUUUUGAAUUUUUUUAAUUCACUCAUCCUUCCAUUAG